Long non-coding RNA from Apis cerana (Asiatic honeybee), 910 nucleotides. RefSeq lists it as uncharacterized. The record is from RefSeq and is a predicted model, not a curated record. NCBI's taxonomy places the organism in Eukaryota, Metazoa, Arthropoda, Insecta, Hymenoptera, Apidae.
GCCAUGUGUUUACCGUCCUCGAACUCCGACAGUAAAAUUGAAGCAAACGUCCUGCUCUAGGACACGUAUCAGUCGUGCUUUACCUUCGGUUUCGAUAACACGGUUUCAGUGUCACGGCAUGGAGAUUAAUACAUUCAAUACAUUAUACAUUAAUAUAAUUGUAUAAAUUAAUACAUAAUUAAUACAUUACGACCACGAGGGACAUCGGCGGAAUCGUUGAUCGAACGGACGUCCCCCGGCGAGACAUGGACGUGUACCACGAGAAAAUGACGGGAGGGCAUUGUACAGUGAGAUCGACGAGGAACAGAGACGGACGAGGGCCGUUUCGAAUGAGGUGUCCCUUCUGUGUCUACCUGGCGUGGACACGCGUAUCGUUAACACUUGGAACGUGUGGCAAUGAUAUCGCGUGCGUGUUGCGCUUGGUUUUUGGAUGUGGAGGAUGAUAUUUCAUUUUCGAGAAUAUUCGUCGCGACAUUUUUUUCUGAUGAUUUUUUUUGUAACGAUUAGAAAUAGUAAUUGUUGUUGUACGGUGCGUGAAUGCGUUCAUUGUGGAACGAAAAAAUUCGCGUGAUUAUUUUUUAAUAGGAUGGAAGAAUGUUUGUUUAGUCUUUUAGAUUUAAUAAUAGAUAGUUUGUGUAAAAUUAAUGAUAAUGUUUAUCUCUUUAUUUUUUAUGUUGUGAAUUUAUCGAUAUUUCAAUACGAAUAUAAACGAAUAUAUGAGGAAUGAAUAAUUUUAAUUUAUUUUAAAUUAUCGUUUUCUUUAGAAUUAAAAUUAGAAAUUAGAAUAUAGAAUGCAACAGAUAUGUAUAGAAAUAAGAGAGAGAUAAAUACAUAAAAAUUUUUGUUUUCAGAAAUAGUAAAAGGAUUUCGUGUAAUAACCUCUUGUCCAAUUAUAUUCUCCUGAUACAAA